Molecule: long non-coding RNA, 1200 nt
Organism: Beta vulgaris subsp. vulgaris (sugar beet)
Lineage: Eukaryota; Viridiplantae; Streptophyta; Magnoliopsida; Caryophyllales; Amaranthaceae
Exons: 3
Source: RefSeq, a predicted model, not a curated record
CGGAAAAAUAAUCCUAAUCGAAUAAAUUUUAGGUUAUCUUUUCUUGAGGUAUAUAAAUACACAAGACUUGCGUUUAAUGUGCUAUGUGCACAUUAGCAGAAUCAAUUUGUACGUCAAUCUGUUGGUCUUCAUUUAUUUACCCAGACAUUGGGUUUGACUCGUAGCUUUGCAAACCAACUUCGUCUUUUGUGAAUCAAGGGGAAAGAGAAGUGCAUUAAUCAAAGGGACAAAGUGUCCAUGAGUACAUAAGGUGUUACAGAACUAGGACAAUGAUGCUCCCAACAUUGUUCAACACCAAAAGGCACAACUCUAGCAAGUAUUUUGUGAGAUAAUGGAAUUCUAGACUAACUUUGAAGUCUUGCAGAAGCUCAAGACUAGUGAGGUGAUGACUUUUUUCUUUUAACACCCUUUUAGUCUAAAAUAUUUUGUUUGCACAGUAUCACUUUUUUUUGUGCAUGUGUACCCGUAUAUUUUUUUUUGGUGUGAAUGACAGGUUCACUUGAAGACGGGGACGAAGAUGAAGGCAGAGAUUCCGUCGUGAUGGGCCACAUGUCUUUAGCACUGUGAGCCUGUCAGGGGUGUUAUUCAUAUGUCUUUAGCACUGCGACACUGACACCUCCAGACAGUCCCUUGAAGACGAAGACGAAGGCAGGGAUUCCGUCGUGAUGGGCCACAUGUCUUUAGCACUGUGAGCCUGUCAGGGGUGUUAUUCAUAUGUCUUUAGCACUGCGACACUGACACCUCCAGACAGUCCCUUGAAGACGAAGACGAAGGCAGGGAUUCCGUCGUGAUGGGCCACAUGUCUUUAGCACUGUGAGCCUGUCAGGGGUGUUAUUCAUAUGUCUUUAGCACUGCGACACUGACACCUCCAGACAGUCCCUUGAAGACGAAGACGAAGACGAAGGCAGGGAUUCCGUCGUGAUGGGCCACAUGUCUUUAGCACUGUGAGCCUGUCAGGGGUGUUAUUCAUAUGUCUUUAGCACUGCGACACUGACACCUCCAGACAGUCCCUUGAAGACGAAGACGAAGGCAGGGAUUCCGUCGUGAUGGGCCACAUGUCUUUAGCACUGUGAGCCUGUCAGGGGUGUUAUUCAUAUGUCUUUAGCACUGCGACACUGACACCUCCAGACAGUCCCUUGAAGACAGUCAAUCUCACCCUCGAGGUAUGUUGUCUAACCCAUGAUUUUUGUUUUGUUAAAU